Molecule: non-coding RNA, 2611 nt
Organism: Cyanistes caeruleus (blue tit)
Lineage: Eukaryota; Metazoa; Chordata; Aves; Passeriformes; Paridae
Source: RefSeq, a predicted model, not a curated record
GAAUCUAUCAGUUUAUGUGUGCACAGUAUAGCGGUGUGGUUUUCAGCCGAUCACCAAAACCAACCCAGCACUGGAUAUUUUCCCUUUUUAUCCCUUAUUAAACUUUUAAAAUUCUAAAGAGUGAACUUUGUCUUUCACAAAGGACUGGCCAGAGUUGUGACAGUGGCUUCUGUGAAAAAUAUUGUGUGCUGCUACAGCUCUGCUUUGCCAUAAGGACAGAAAAGGCAAGAGAAACACUAGGGGAUUUUAAAAUUGCCCUUUUUACCUUUAGGACAGUGUAUUACAUCCAAAAAGAUGAAUGCAGAUGGCUUUGGAUGUGACACUUAAUGGAAAUAAGAUGCAAAAAGUAUUCCAGGGCAUGAAAUCUCCCCAUAUUUUCAGUGAAGUCUCUUUUGGCAAGAAAAGCUGAUUUUUCAGUCCUGGGAUGCAGAGUGUGUUGUCUGUCGCUGGGGUUUUAUCCUCACGCUGAGUUUGGACUGCCUGGCCAAAGGACAGAGGUUUUGUCUUCUCUCCCAUUUGAUGAAGUGCAGUGAUCUUGUGUCCCUUGGAACAGAGAGCUCUUGUGCUGAUCUCUACAUUGAACACAAAGAAGGAUUGGCCAGAUGGAUGCAGGAGAGUAAUAAAUGCAUUGCUGCAGUGGAGUGUAAAGCAGAGUGGAAUAAACAUCUCUGCCUACACAUUGUUCACGUUUAAAAUUCAGUUGUUUGCUGAGUGGGCUGCUCGGGGCCGGCUCUUUUCUUGUAGUUUGCUGCAAGAAAUUAAAAUAAUUCACAUGGGAUAAACAUUUCUUUUACCUUUUCUGCCCAUACAAAUGAGAGCAGCGAUCAGAGGGAGGUGUGAGUGGAAGGGCAAUUAUCCCACUGCAGGAGGUGGGAGUCAGCUCAAUGCCAGGAGCUCAUGGAGGCAGGAAUCAGGAAUUAUGCAAUGAUGGAAUUCUGUGCCGUUUAGAUCAGCCAAAGCUGCCUAAAACUUUCCAGCCCAGAGGUUCACCUUGCACUGGCUGCUCUGAGGUGUUUCCUUCUCGAGAAGAUAAUGUGGCAGCCAGGCUGAGGGAGAUCAGGGUCUGGAAAGAUCUGGAAAAUAAAGAGAGAUUUCAUGCUCUGGGUUGUAAAUCGUGGGGGAAACAGGGCUGGGAGAAACAUUACCUUUUCUUUAAAAUUCUAAUCAACAUGCACAGAGAAUAACACAGAAUAACUGAGAAUAACCCAGAUCCCCACAGCUCUCACUAAAUGCUUUGAUUAUUUAUCAUCGCCCGUUUUUUAUGGGAAGAGUUGACAUUAGAUUAUUAGUGACCUGAGUGGUAUUUGAUUUUUUUUCCCCUUGGAGGUUAAAGACUUUGUAGUUUCCUGUUCUAGGUCCUUUUUAAAAUUCAUUUUAGAGCAUGAAAAAUAUAUUGUUCAGUCAAGUUUAUUUCUCUGACAUUUAUUCAGAGCAGAGUGUGAUCCUAAUAUUAAAGGUUUUUGAUGUGAAGCCCGGGAUACAAACAAGGCUUUUCAGUGGUCUUCCCUAAAACAGGGACAUUUCAUCAGUGCCUGGGAAGUUAAUAUGUUGGAACAGCAUAAUUAUUUGAAGGAGUGUUUGUUUUUCAAGGAUCUGUGGGUGAUAUUAGAUGGCUCAGCCCAGUUGUGUCACAAGGUAUUAAGGUUUCUGCCUGCUAAAGUCAUGGAGCUGGGCCUAUAUAGAGCCAUAAAUAAAAUUGUGUGAGAGCCAGUGACAGACUCUGACUGCAGCUCAACUCUUUAUCACAUGUUAUAUUCAAUUUAAACACAAUUGUUGAAUUCCUUGCUGUGGGCAAAGGCUUUUUGAUUUCUCCUUCUAUUGAAGUUGUAAUAUCCCUCUUAGCCCGUGAAACUCGCUCUUGCCAGGUGUGUUUCUCAAUUAAUCAGCCUCUCAUUAAUGAUGCCAGCAGAAUUAAUUGUGCUGUCACCACGAGGCUGUAUAUCCAGUUGGGAAUUACGGGGUGAGGCCAGUGGGAUUAAGCACAUUUUGUUUGUGGGGAAAGUUCAUGGGGCUCAAUAAUGAGAUGGGCAUUAUUCUGUCACAAAGGGCAGUUUCAGGCUGGAACAUUUUUUUAACUCUGGAAAUACGAAGGGCAAACACAAGAACUCUUAGGAAAUUUGAAAGCAUUUGUUGACAAUUUAAGGUACAGUCAAGGUUUUCCUCUUUAUCAGCACAGAAAGUACUGCCAAGGAGCCCCCAGACACCAUAAAUCAUCCAGGAGAGUGGAGAGGCUGAGAAGAUUACAAAGGAAAUGCUCUGGGGCAGGCAGCACCCUGAGAAAUCAUUGUUUAGGGCCUGCUGUAUUUAAAAUGGCCAUUUCAGCUGCCAUUAACUCCCAUCCCUAAUUAGAAAAUGGAUUGAUCUUUGCCUAAAGUUGCUGGAGACUGGCAGGUGUCCCUGGCAGAUCAGAGCUCUGCAUACAGAUGAGAUGGUUUCCUGAGCUCACAGGUGGAUAUUUCUGGAAUAAGUGUGCUCUGUUUGAGUGGCUGAACCUCUCACAGCAGGAGAACAUCGACAGGAGGAAGCUGGCAGUGAGUUUGGCAGGCUGAGGUUCCGGGUGAGAGGCUGCCAUGGCCAGGAGAUUCCCAGAUGUGCUGAUGCCUUGAGAGGA